Molecule: ribosomal RNA, 600 nt
Filed under: uncultured marine crenarchaeote
Lineage: Archaea; Thermoproteati; Thermoproteota
Description: bacterial SSU rRNA
Rfam family: Archaeal small subunit ribosomal RNA
Source: RNAcentral
CACAAGGGGUGAAGCCUGCGGUUCAAUUGGAGUCAACGCCUGAAACCUUACCCGGAGAGACAGCAGAAUGAAGGUCAAGCUGAAGACUUUACCAGACAAGCUGAGAGGUGGUGCAUGGCCGUCGCCAGCUCGUGCCGUGAGAUGUCCUGUUAAGUCAGGUAACGAGCGAGAUCCCUGCCUCUAGUUGCUACCAUUACUCUCAGGAGUAGUGGGGCGAAUUAGGGGGACCGCCGCAGUUAAUGCGGAGGAAGGAAGGGGCCACGGCAGGUCAGUAUGCCCCGAAACUCUGGGGCCACACGCGGGCUGCAAUGGUAACGACAAUGAGUUCCAAAAUCGAAAGAUAGAGGUAAUCCCUAAACGUUACCACAGUUAUGAUUGAGGGCUGCAACUCGCCCUCAUGAAUAUGGAAUCCCUAGUAACCGCGUGUCAUUAUCGCGCAGUGAAUACGUCCCUGCUCCUUGCACACACCGCCCGUCGUUUCAUUGAAGUUUGCCUUUAGCGAGGUGAUGUCUAAUUGGCAUUAUCGAACUUGGGGUAAGUGACAAGGGAAAAGUCGUAACAAGGUGACCGUAGGGGAACCUGCGGUCGGAUCACCUCCUU